GGAUGCCGCCCCAUGCUGCUGGGAAGGAAGACAGGCUGCCUGCAGUGAGCUCAGCUGUCCUUGCAAGCAUGGGGGCCCAGUGGUUCCAAGUUGAGUCCUCACAAGAUCCACUCACUCCAUACUCAUAGAAUGAGUAUCUUUUUAAAUGAUUGACUGCAAACAGGGGAAUCUAUGGAUGUCAUCGUAUGUCAGUGUAUUGUAAAACAUGUACUUUCUGUUGAAGUACGUCCAACAGAUGCAUUUACUGUAAAACUACAUAGGGGGCUAUCAAAGUCAAGUCAGAUUCAGAUGUUUAGUCUAAACUGACUAUGAGACCUCUUGCUCCUGGCCAUCAUGGGUUCAGGGCAGAGCAUAAGGAGCAUAAGGAGUCUGCUGCUGCUGGUUGGAGGUUGAGGUAUCAUUCUGGGAAGGGUCUAUCUUACUUGAGAGGAGGUGUCAGAAGGAGAUAUUGUUUUUUUCUUUGUGUUUUCUUUUUCGUGAUAUUUGGCGUGGGGCUAUCUGGCUUCCUGCCUGUGGUGGAAAUAAACAUCAAAGCUCAGAAAGUCUUGGGUGUUAAUGACAUUGUUAAGCCACUAUAUAGUAACCUGCUCUGAAGCACUCCUAACUCUGAGAUUUUUAUGUGGGAAUUUUACAAAAUGGAUAUUUAAAGCCAUUGAGUUAAAUUUUUAUUUUCAGGCAAAA
This is a long non-coding RNA of Mustela erminea (ermine), 681 nucleotides long. RefSeq lists it as uncharacterized. The record is from RefSeq and is a predicted model, not a curated record. The transcript has 3 exons. NCBI's taxonomy places the organism in Eukaryota, Metazoa, Chordata, Mammalia, Carnivora, Mustelidae.